This 265-nucleotide unclassified non-coding RNA is filed under the name Hevea brasiliensis (rubber tree). Lineage: Eukaryota; Viridiplantae; Streptophyta; Magnoliopsida; Malpighiales; Euphorbiaceae. The record is from RNAcentral.
UCUGGAGGCUCAGGAAUUCUAGACUCUACGGGGACUACCAUUACAAUGAGAGAGCAGAUACAACAUUUUGCUACUAUUCGGUUAAAUAUGACUGCCAGAAUGACCUCGGAGAAAACCAACUUCUUGCUCUCUAAAUCUCUAUUCGUCAUCAGCAGUGGAGGCAAUGAUAUAUUUUCAUAUUUCUCUCGAAAUGGCUCCUUCAGUAAUAGCGAGAACCGAAAUUUUGUUGCUACUCUUAUCUCGAACUACAAGAACUAUAUAACGG